RNAcentral lists this ribosomal RNA (305 nucleotides) under uncultured bacterium. RNAcentral's name for it is "bacterial SSU rRNA". It matches the Rfam family "Bacterial small subunit ribosomal RNA", at positions 471 to 774 of the family's 1533-position model. The record is from RNAcentral.
GACGGUACCUGAAGAAUAAGCACCGGCUAAUUACGUGCCAGCAGCCGGCGGUAAUACGUAGGGUGCGAGCGUUAAUCGGAAUUACUGGGCGUAAAGCGUGCGCAGGCGGCUUUGCAAGACAGAUGUGAAAUCCCCGGGCUCAACCUGGGAACUGCAUUUGUGACUGCAAGGCUAGAGUACGGCAGAGGGGGAUGGAAUUCCGCGUGUAGCAGUGAAAUGCGUAGAUAUGCGGAGGAACACCGAUGGCGAAGGCAAUCCCCUGGGCCUGUACUGACGCUCAUGCACGAAAGCGUGGGGAGCAAACA